UGGUGAAAUCCUGCAGCUAACUGUAGAAUGCCAUUGAUACUGGUUUCCUUGAGUGUAGUUGAAGUGGCGAAUGUGUAUUGUAGCGGUGAAAUGCUUAGAUAUUACACAGAACACCUAUUGCGAAGGCAGCUCACUUAAACUAAUACUGACGCUGAGGCACGAAAGCGUGGGGAGCAAACAGGAUUAGAUACCCUGGUAGUCCACGCCGUAAACGUUGAUUACUCGAUGUGUGCGAUACACUGUACGCGUCUGAGCGAAAGCAUUAAGUAAUCCACCUGGGGAGUACGAUCGCAAGAUUGAAACUCAAAGGAAUUGACGGGGGCCCGCACAAGCGGAGGAACAUGUGGUUUAAUUCGAUGAUACGCGAGGAACCUUACCUGGGCUUAAAUGCAGACUGAUUUCCGCCGAAAGGUGGUUUCCCUUCGGGGCAGACUGCAAGGUGCUGCAUGGUUGUCGUCAGCUCGUGCCGUGAGGUGUCGGGUUAAGUCCCAUAACGAGCGCAACCCCUAUCGUUAGUUGCCAGCGAGUAAUGUCGGGGACUCUAGCGAAACUGCCGGUGUAAACCGUGAGGAAGGUGGGGAUGACGUCAAAUCAGCACGGCCCUUAUGUCCAGGGCUACACACGUGUUACAAUGGCCGGUACAGAGGGCAGCUACCUGGUAACAGGUUGCAAUCUCGAAACCGGUCUUAGUUCGGAUCGGAGU
RNAcentral lists this ribosomal RNA (703 nucleotides) under uncultured bacterium. RNAcentral describes it as "bacterial SSU rRNA". It matches the Rfam family "Bacterial small subunit ribosomal RNA", at positions 592 to 1304 of the family's 1533-position model. The record is from RNAcentral.